CAGCUGUCCUAGUCCAUAGAAUGAGAAGAAGAAACCUUUUGUGCUUCUCUGUGCCAUUGACCUCAUUGCUUGAAAACAAGGAAGCCCUUUCUAUCCUGGGAAAGUCUGGUAACUGCUCCAUGGCUGCUUCUGGGGAAAGGUGCCAAGCCACAUCCCGUGAGGGGACAGCAGGUGCAGCACAGAGAGUGGGCUAUCGUCCUGCCUCAGCCUUGCGGUCUUGGACACUGCCUUUAACUUUCUGGGACCUCUCUUUCUACCACCUGCAAAACAAGGGGGCUCUGCAGACCACCCUGCUUUGGCGAUCUUGCCUUCCCUGAGACAAAUGCCGCAGCCAUGGGAGAGAAGGCAGGGUCCCCAUCCUCGUGGGUCUCCUACCAGGCCUAGGGCUUCCCCCAGGCCUGCUGACCCAGGAGGACUCAUCACAGCUCCUCCUCAGCUAAGAAUCUACUUUCUUUCCCUUCUAAGAUUUGACUUACCUCUCUGUCUAAUAAAAAAGCAGAAUUGAUCAGACUGGGGGAGCAGAUGGGGUCUCAGCAUGAAACACCAAAGAAACCCUCUGGUGAUCACUCCACCUCUGUACACACUCACGUACACACACACACACACACACACACACACACACACACACACACCUGCACACACACACACACACACACACACACACACACACACACACCUGAACCGAAAUCUAAACACAUUUUCCUGUCUGUGUAUCAACCUUUUACACUUUCUUUUUAAUUUUUUUAUUUUUUUGGUACCGGGGAUCGAGCUCAGGCCCUUGCGCUUGCGAAGCAGGAGGCAGAACCACUGAGCCGAAGGCCCGACCCUUACCCUUUCUUGCUGCCAGUGUGUUGAAAUAGGAUUCAAUCCCACAGUGCAAAAGCACUGCUCCCACUUUAGGGUCCUCAGCUAGAGCUCCAUGUUUGGGGGUAACCUUAGGCAAAGCUAAAGGCCCUAACACUUCAGCCCAAAAAUGCAGACUUUACCAGCUGGGACUGCGGCAGUGACUGGUGAGCACAGUGCCGGGAUCCAGAGCCUUCCUUCCUUCUCUUCCAGUCCCCCUCCGCCCCCAGCUGUAGAUAUGUUGUUCUAUAAAGGCAGCUGCCUGCUCAAGCCUGCCUCUCUGCCUGCAUACAGUGCCGUGGACUUGUUCUGUGUAUGUGUGUCCUGCCUC
This 1174-nucleotide long non-coding RNA is filed under the name Fukomys damarensis (Damara mole-rat). RNAcentral's name for it is "lncRNA (ENSFDAG00000031761.1)". The record is from RNAcentral. Lineage: Eukaryota; Metazoa; Chordata; Mammalia; Rodentia; Bathyergidae.